Molecule: ribosomal RNA, 249 nt
Filed under: uncultured bacterium
Lineage: Bacteria
Description: partial 16S ribosomal RNA
Rfam family: Bacterial small subunit ribosomal RNA
Source: RNAcentral
GCAAGUCGAACGGUAAGGUCCCGCUUGCGGGAUACACGAGUGGCGCACGGGUGAGUAACGCGUAUGCAACCUACCUUUAACUGGAGAAUAGCCCCGAGAAAUCGGGAUUAAUACUUCAUAACGAUAUGAAACGACAUCGUUUUAUAUUUAAAGCUCCGGCGGUUAAAGAUGGGCAUGCGUGACAUUAGAUAGUUGGUGAGGUAACGGCUCACCAAGUCAACGAUGUCUAGGGGUUCUGAGAGGAUUAUC